This 774-nucleotide ribosomal RNA is filed under the name uncultured Neocallimastigales. RNAcentral's name for it is "partial large subunit ribosomal RNA". It matches the Rfam family "Eukaryotic large subunit ribosomal RNA", at positions 20 to 633 of the family's 3401-position model. Lineage: Eukaryota; Fungi; Neocallimastigomycota; Neocallimastigomycetes; Neocallimastigales. The record is from RNAcentral.
UACUAGAGUAGCACUCGCAUAUCAAUAAGCGGAGGAAAAGAAACUAACAAGGAUUCCCCUAGUAACGGCGAGUGAAGCGGGAAGAGCUCAAAUUUGAAAUCUUAAAGGGUUUCCCUUUACGAAUUGUAGUUUAAAGAAGUGUUUUCUGUUGAGGUUUUGGUAAAAGUUCUUUGGAAUAGGACAUCAUAGAGGGUGAGAAUCCCGUAUUUGACCUUUACUUUCAACUUUGUGAUACACUUUCAAAGAGUCGGAUUGUUUGGGAAUGCAGUCCAAAAUGGGUGGUAAAUUUCAUCUAAAGCUAAAUAUUGGCGAGAGACCGAUAGCGAACAAGUACCGUGAGGGAAAGAUGAAAAGAACUUUGAAAAGAGAGUUAAACAGUACGUGAAAUUGUCAAAAGGGAAGCGUUUGACACCAGUGUUGUUUUUCUGAAAAUCAAUUAAAGAACUGUUUAUGCUAAGCUGUUUAGACUUUAUCAGCUAACUGUUUAGUUUUGAGCUUUUCUUUAAUGCACUUUUCAGUUAACAAGUCAACAUCAAUUUCUUUUGCUGUAAAAAAGCUUGAGGAAGGUGGCUUGAGAUUCGUCUUAAGUGUUUAUAGCCUCUUGCCUAUGCAGUCGGAGAGAUUGAGGUCUGCAGCGUAGAUCCUUCGGGGCUAAAUGCAUUUGUGCUAAGUUAUAGCAUUUUAUAGACAACUUGUUGACUAUGAUUUGUCUUGUAGCUUACUCGCUUAUGUUAUUUUACCUACGCUUAGGAUGUUGAAGACUCUACAGAGAUA